Molecule: ribosomal RNA, 322 nt
Filed under: uncultured eukaryote
Lineage: Eukaryota
Description: partial 18S ribosomal RNA
Rfam family: Eukaryotic small subunit ribosomal RNA
Source: RNAcentral
CCCUUAGAUGUUCUGAGCCGCACGCGUGCUACACUGAGUGGAUCAGCGGGUCAGGUUGCGCGAAAGCGUUUCCUAAUCUUUAAAUCCGCUCGUGAUGGGGAUUGACGGUUGCAAUUUUCUGUCAUGAACGAGGAAUACCUUGUAAGCGCGGGUCAUCAUCCCGCGCUGAAUACGUCCCUGCCCUUUGUACACACCGCCCGUCGCUCCUACCGAUUGAGUGGUCCGGUGAGGCUUUGGGAUCUGAGCAAAGAGAGCGUUUCGCUCGUUUUGCCCGGAAAACUCAGUCGAACCUUAUCAUUUAGAGGAAGGAGAAGUCGUAACA